Molecule: long non-coding RNA, 555 nt
Filed under: Cricetulus griseus (Chinese hamster)
Lineage: Eukaryota; Metazoa; Chordata; Mammalia; Rodentia; Cricetidae
Description: lncRNA (ENSCGRG00015042692.1)
Source: RNAcentral
AGCCACCCAGCUACUUAAUGACAUCAUUUGGUAGUUGCUGUUCCCACAGAAAGGCUGGGGAACUUGGAUACGUACCCCUUCUCACAUCACAGCAACAGUAUGAGAAACUCAAGCUCUCUUCAGCCAUGAGUGGGCAGACAGGCCCUGGUGAUAAAGGAUCUGCCAGCCACCAUGAUACUUCCUCUGAGUCACCAGCUCUCAGGAUCCACUCCGUGUUUUCAAUGAAUGAGGGAAGACAGAAUAACAAUUUUGUACCCAAUAUAAUCUGCACAUGUGAGCCUCUUACUUCCACAGAGCCAGAAUUCUACAUGGCUGGGCAUUGUGGUGCGCCGCUGAAAUCCUAGCACUUGGAAGGCUGAGGCGGAAGGAUCAUGAGUUCAAGACCACCCAGGACUACAUGCUCGUAGUAUUUGCUCUACCACAUUCUGGACCUUUUGAAGAGACAGCUGUGGACAUGCUAUAAAGGAUGACUGUUUUCACCAGCACUGUAUUCACUUCGCCCUCUAAGGCUGAUAAACCCAGAGCCAUUGCUUACAUUCCAAAGGAUGAUAAACC